RNAcentral lists this ribosomal RNA (254 nucleotides) under uncultured bacterium. Its description in RNAcentral is "partial 16S ribosomal RNA". It matches the Rfam family "Bacterial small subunit ribosomal RNA", at positions 524 to 776 of the family's 1533-position model. The record is from RNAcentral.
UACAGAGGGUGCGAGCGUUAAUCGGAAUUACUGGGCGUAAAGGGUGCGUAGGUUGUUCUGUAAGUCAGAUGUGAAAACCCGGGGCUUAACUCCGGAAGGUCGUUUGAUACUGCAGAGCUAGAGUUUUGAAGGGGACAGUGGAAUUUCCGGUGUAGCGGUGAAAUGCGUAGAUAUCGGAAGGAACACCAGAGGCGAAGGCGACUGUCUGGUCAAAAAACUGACACUGAGGCACGAUAGCGUGGGUAGCAAACAGG